This 497-nucleotide ribosomal RNA is filed under the name uncultured bacterium. RNAcentral describes it as "partial 16S ribosomal RNA". It matches the Rfam family "Bacterial small subunit ribosomal RNA", at positions 28 to 507 of the family's 1533-position model. The record is from RNAcentral.
GAUGAACGCUGGCGGCGUGCCUAAUACAUGCAAGUCGAGCGAACAGACGAGGAGCUUGCUCCUCUGACGUUAGCGGCGGACGGGUGAGUAACACGUGGAUAACCUACCUAUAAGACUGGGAUAACUUCGGGAAACCGGAGCUAAUACCGGAUAAUAUAUUGAACCGCAUGGUUCAAUAGUGAAAGACGGUUUUGCUGUCACUUAUAGAUGGAUCCGCGCCGCAUUAGCUAGUUGGUAAGGUAACGGCUUACCAAGGCAACGAUGCGUAGCCGACCUGAGAGGGUGAUCGGCCGCACUGGAACUGAGACACGGUCCAGACUCCUACGGGAGGCAGCAGUAGGGAAUCUUCCGCAAUGGGCGAAAGCCUGACGGAGCAACGCCGCGUGAGUGAUGAAGGUCUUCGGAUCGUAAAACUCUGUUAUUAGGGAAGAACAAAUGUGCAAGUAACUAUGCACGUCUUGACGGUACUUAAUCAGAAAGCCACGGCUAACUACGUG